GCGCCACUAGCUCAGUUGGUAGAGCAGCUGACUCUUAAUCAGCGGGUCGGGGGUUCGAGUCCCUCGUGGCGCACCA
This 76-nucleotide transfer RNA is filed under the name Limnochordales bacterium. RNAcentral's name for it is "tRNA-Lys". It matches the Rfam family "tRNA". From Rfam's summary of the family: Transfer RNA (tRNA) molecules are approximately 80 nucleotides in length. Their secondary structure includes four short double-helical elements and three loops (D, anti-codon, and T loops). The record is from RNAcentral. Lineage: Bacteria; Bacillati; Bacillota; Limnochordia; Limnochordales.